This 21-nucleotide non-coding RNA is filed under the name Caenorhabditis elegans. The record is from RNAcentral. Lineage: Eukaryota; Metazoa; Nematoda; Chromadorea; Rhabditida; Rhabditidae.
UAUUUCAAUAUUGUUCCGUUU